This 250-nucleotide long non-coding RNA is filed under the name Hordeum vulgare. RNAcentral describes it as "long non-coding RNA (HVUL_LNC016379)". The record is from RNAcentral. Lineage: Eukaryota; Viridiplantae; Streptophyta; Magnoliopsida; Poales; Poaceae.
AUCAAGAUUAACAGCUGGUUCUAUCUCAACAUCUUUAUCUGGUUCUUUAUCAUUUAUUUGAGUGUCUUCCUGAACCUCAUCAUUAUCUUUUUCAUUAUGAGAAGGUGUGUCUUCAUUAAAAGAUUGAGUUUCAGCAUCAGAGAUAGAAACUUCAUUAUCAUUAUCAGGAGUUUUUCUAUUUCAGGUUCACUAGAGGCACGCCAAGUCCUAUUAUUUUUCAUCUUCCUUUUCUUUUUAGAAGGACUAGGUG